This 1697-nucleotide long non-coding RNA is filed under the name Toxoplasma gondii VEG. The record is from RNAcentral. Lineage: Eukaryota; Apicomplexa; Conoidasida; Eucoccidiorida; Sarcocystidae.
GUCGUACGCUGAAAGCACAAUUCGCAGGUCCUCCCAGAGUCUCACAUUCGUUUUAGUGUGCUGACUCGCUCGAAGAUCGACGUAGUACCGACGGAGCUGAUCCAAGGUCGAAAUACUCCGGUUGUGAAAUCCGUACCGACCACUAUAUGUCUUUCCGCGGUUGAGCAGUGUCGUGUGCAUGUAGUCCUGCAGCGCUUUGUCAAGAGAGAAAGCUCCCCUCUGCAGCUGCAAGCCGAAAUUAUCCAGAUAUUCGACCUCCUUCCAAUGUAAGCGUCGCAAUCGCUCCAGCAUAACAAGGUAAUCAUCGAUAUGGUUCAAGAGUCGAUUUCGUUUCUCCGUGGGUUCUUUCCCACUGUCAUCUCGGGCUGGUAACGAAUCACAAACCUGUUUGUGCAACUCCACCAGUUCCACCCAUUUGUGCUUUCGGAGGCCACUCAUAACCGCUAAGGUUGCUCUCAAAAGUUGCAAGUUCACGUCCUUCGCGUCUUCAUCGUUGUUGAUAUCUGUCCUCUCCAACCACCGGAAGAGGUUGCUGAUGGCACUUUGUGAAAUUUGUAUCUCCGAAUCUCUGAACGCAUCAAUCAGAAGGCUCUGAUCAAAUCUCAAGUCGCCGCCUUCGUACAGACUUAAAGCGUCUGCCAGAAGUCUACCACGAUUCGUCCUUGUCUCGUUCAAGUUUUUGUCAUCUUCCGACUUUUUCUGUCGUUCUGAAUACUCUAAUUGCCUGUUUCGAAUUCGUUUCUCCAAAUCCCUGAUCUCCUCCAAUUCUUUCUCCACCUUCCUCCUCGUCUCCUCCACCUUGACAAGUUCUCCGUCAACAUCGACCAUGUCUAGACGUAGCUGAAGGGGUUCAAAAAUGAACUGCGUCACAAGAAAAAGCAAUAGCUAUACACUGGAAAUGCUUGAGUCCGUGUACCUUCGAUGGGCAACGUGGGUAGAUUCCCCAUACCCGGAAUCGCCACCGGAUGCCGCUGUGCUAGAGGAGGGUGAACCCGCCACACGCACGCGGACUUCUCAAAAAACAGCGGUGGUUCAUGAUAGCAAUCAUCCGGUGAGAAUUACUGUGACCACCUCAAGUUGUUGCAUUAAUGGCAGAUACACGUACUAAGACCGCGUUCUGAAAGCCAGUGUCGCUGGAAUGCAUGAGGGAAUGUAACGUAGACACUUGCGAGAGCCGCCAGUAGCAAGCCAUACGCUAACCACAAGGACAGACUGCAAAAACUUGCGAGCAAGCGCAAAGGCCACAUGGGCUCAACAAUCUUUUCGAUGUAGGAAAUGCACACCACGACGUACUGCGCAGCGACGAGUCAAGUUGCACGGUCCAGCGAUUCUGUGGACCGACCGGCUUGUCCAGCGGAACCAGUGGUUUUCUCGAGCGCGGCCUGUGCCUGUCUUUGCCACAGAAUGUGGAUGGAUCUGUGAGCUAAGUUGUUUCCCACAUAAGCACUGCCAUGUAUUUUGAGGAUGUAUCAUAAGUGGAAAAGCAGCGUUUCCCCACUGAAGGCACCAUGAACUUCAGUUUCGUUGGGGGACUAGAGCGCCACGCGCGGGAACAUAAACUGGAAAACUGAUCUGUUUGCGUAGUUGAUGAACGGAAAAAUAAUGGAGUGGGUGCUCAGAACUUGAUCCUGCUUUAAGUCUCUUCUGAUCAGUGCGUUCAGUCAUAGUCACUGGAAGUAUUUUUCGAAAACACUAGC